GCCUUCGUGGUGUAGUGGUCAGCACGCUCGACGCGUAACCGAGAGGUCCGUGGUUCGAUUCCCAGCGUAGGCG
This is a non-coding RNA of Stegodyphus mimosarum, 73 nucleotides long. Lineage: Eukaryota; Metazoa; Arthropoda; Arachnida; Araneae; Eresidae. The record is from Rfam.